This is a long non-coding RNA of Oryzias melastigma (Indian medaka), 558 nucleotides long. RefSeq lists it as uncharacterized. NCBI's taxonomy places the organism in Eukaryota, Metazoa, Chordata, Actinopteri, Beloniformes, Adrianichthyidae. The transcript has 3 exons. The record is from RefSeq and is a predicted model, not a curated record.
AUGACAACAACCCGGUUUCUGGCCUGGUUGGUGGUUUUUAGGUGAAUAGAUUGAAGCUCUAUAGUGACCUUCAACAAUUUCUCUUUAGACUCCAGACAAUAACCUCCAUUUUGUUCUUUGUUUAGCUGAAAGCCGACACGUUCUGUUGGAAUCACCUUCAGAACGCCAUGUGAGACGGAAAAAGGAUUACGGAUCGUCAUACUUCACACUCAAAGUUACCAGAUUCUACAUAUGCAGUCAAUCAGAGAUCAUCCACCUGGAGCGGAGCUGCAGCUGGAGGCGCCUGGAGACGCUCACGGGGACAAUACAAACGGACGGGAUGAUGGCGGGAUGAUGGCGGCAUGAGGGCGGGAUGAUGGCGGGAUGGAUAGAUACACGCUUUUCACUGUAGGAGGAAGUAUGAUUCUAAAUACAUGUUUAUGGAAAUAGAUAUUGCUACAGUUGGAUUGAUAAAAGUCAACAUAAGGAAUGACUUUUGUUUGAGUAAAUAUGUGUGUAAAUACAGUUAUUCAUGGACACAAAGAGUGAGAUUUCAUUCAUAAACUGGUAAAAACUCUC